RNAcentral lists this ribosomal RNA (490 nucleotides) under uncultured bacterium. RNAcentral describes it as "partial 16S ribosomal RNA". It matches the Rfam family "Bacterial small subunit ribosomal RNA", at positions 28 to 507 of the family's 1533-position model. The record is from RNAcentral.
GAUGAACGCUGGCUACAGGCUUAACACAUGCAAGUCGAGGGGAAACGACGGGGAAGCUUGCUUCCCCGGGCGUCGACCGGCGCACGGGUGAGUAACGCGUAUCCAACCUGCCUCUGACUGAGGGAUAACCCGUCGAAAGUCUGCCUAAUACCUCAUUGCAUCGUCUGCGGGCAUCCAACGACGAUUAAAGAUUUCAUUGGUCAGGGAUGGGGAUGCGUCUGAUUAGCUUGUUGGCGGGGUAACGGCCCACCAAGGCUACGAUCAGUAGGGGGUCUGAGAGGAAGGUCCCCACAUUGGAACUGAGACACGGUCCAAUCUCCUACGGGAGGCAGCAGUGAGGAAUAUUGGUCAAUGGGCGGGAGCCUGAACCAGCCAAGUAGCGUGCAGGAUGACGGCCCUAUGGGUUGUAAACUGCUUUUAUGCGGGGAUAAAGUGAGGGACGUGUCCUUCAUUGAAGGUACCGAAUGAAUAAGGACCGGCUAAUUCCGUG